ACGAACGCUGGCGGCGUGCCUAAUACAUGCAAGUCGAACGGUCUUUCUAUGGAAGCUUGCUUCCACUGAGAAGAUAGUGGCGAACGGGUGAGUAACACGUGGGUAACCUGCCCAUAAGAGGGGGAUAACAUCCGGAAACGGGUGCUAAUACCGCAUAGUUUUCUUGAUCGCAUGAUUGAGAAAGGAAAGACGGCCUUUGUGCUGUCGCUUAUGGAUGGACCCGCGGCGUAUUAGUUAGUUGGUGAGGUAACGGCUCACCAAGACGAUGAUACGUAGCCGACCUGAGAGGGUGAUCGGCCACAUUGGGACUGAGACACGGCCCAAACUCCUACGGGAGGCAGCAGUAGGGAAUCUUCCGCAAUGGACGAAAGUCUGACGGAGCAACGCCGCGUGAGUGAAAGAAGGUUUUCGGAUCGUAAAACUCUGUUGUCAGAGAAGAACAAGUUGGAGAGUAACUGCUCCAGCCUUGACGGUAUCUGACCAGAAAGCCACGGCUAACUACGUGCCAGCCGCCGC
Molecule: ribosomal RNA, 516 nt
Filed under: uncultured bacterium
Lineage: Bacteria
Description: bacterial SSU rRNA
Rfam family: Bacterial small subunit ribosomal RNA
Source: RNAcentral